AUAGUCCUUUUUUAUAUGGUUUUAACGAGUUUGAGUUAAGAGUAGUAAAUAACUUGCUCCCAGGAAAAGAACCGUGUGAGGAGGCCCCGGGGCGUUACAGCCUUUACUUUGAAGGGGACAAAUCCUUCCCACUUUAACAAAUUGGUGUUUCCGCCCGUGACCUGGAAGCAGGACAACAGAGCCACCGACGGAAAAAGCUCCACAGCCUGCGGCCGAAACAACUGAUAAGUUGUUGACGGACGCGCUUCCUUAGCAGAAGAGCGGCUCACUGAAGGUUGUAGGGAAAAGGUUUAAAGCCCAGAGGGAUCUCACGUAAGACGUCGAGGUCUGAUUUUAUACACUGUGUGAACGGAAGGUGUGAAAGAUGGAUGCAUGUGGACUAGAAAUUGAAUCCAGAAACACCUUGUUAAAAGUGAGUCUGGAUAAAGGGAGAAAUAUGAUCAUGGCGAGUUAUCCAUUGAAGGAUGCAGAACACCACAUUAGAAAAUUUGAUGAAUGGGUUGAAAAAAUGAGAGAAGAUGGAGUGUUUGGGGAAUUAGAGGGGCCCCCUCCAAACACUUCUCAACGUGGUUUUUAUUUGGAUACACUAAAAAAUAGAUUGUCACAAGCUCGUGAA
Long non-coding RNA from Cyprinodon tularosa, 616 nucleotides. RefSeq lists it as uncharacterized. The record is from RefSeq and is a predicted model, not a curated record. NCBI's taxonomy places the organism in Eukaryota, Metazoa, Chordata, Actinopteri, Cyprinodontiformes, Cyprinodontidae. The transcript is spliced from 2 exons.